AGCAGUGUGGCUCAGUGGAAAGAGCACGGCCUUUGGAGCCAAUGGUCAUGGGUUCGAAUCCCGGCUCUUCCA
RNAcentral lists this transfer RNA (72 nucleotides) under Ornithorhynchus anatinus (platypus). It matches the Rfam family "tRNA". Rfam says of the family: Transfer RNA (tRNA) molecules are approximately 80 nucleotides in length. Their secondary structure includes four short double-helical elements and three loops (D, anti-codon, and T loops). The record is from Rfam by way of RNAcentral. Lineage: Eukaryota; Metazoa; Chordata; Mammalia; Monotremata; Ornithorhynchidae.